Long non-coding RNA from Photinus pyralis (common eastern firefly), 455 nucleotides. RefSeq lists it as uncharacterized. The transcript has 3 exons. Lineage: Eukaryota; Metazoa; Arthropoda; Insecta; Coleoptera; Lampyridae. The record is from RefSeq and is a predicted model, not a curated record.
GAUUUGAGUUUGUGUGAUGCAAUUUUAAAGAAAGCGGAAGAAGCGGAAUCCAGUUUGUGUCCAAAGAAAUCAGAAGACUUUUACAAAAAGGAAUUUGAAAAAUUUUGUCACUGGAUGCGGAACAAUAAUGCCGAAAUUGUGACAGAGAAGGUUUUGCUGGCGUAUUUUCUGGAUCAGUCAAAAAAUUACAAGUCCUCGUCAUUGUGGUGCAUGUACUCCAAGCUGAAAUGUAUGUUACGAAUAAAAAAUGACAUUGACAUUAGCCAGUUUUCUAAACUUUCUGCUUUUUUAAAAAAGUGUUCAGUUGGGUAUUCAGCAGAAAAAUCUUUGGUGUUCUCAAAGAAUCAGUUAAUAAAUUUUUUGACCUCGGCUUGUGACGAACAAUAUCUCCUUAUGAAGGUUGUUGCAAUAUUUGGAUUAUUUGGUGCUUGCAGAAGGAUAGAGUUUUACAAUUU